UAAAUCGAUUGAGUUUCUGCCCUAUCAGCUUUGGAUGGUAGGAUAUGGGUCUAUCAUGGUAUUAACG
This is a ribosomal RNA of Phytophthora infestans T30-4, 67 nucleotides long. Lineage: Eukaryota; Oomycota; Peronosporomycetes; Peronosporales; Peronosporaceae. The record is from RefSeq and is a predicted model, not a curated record.